This 28-nucleotide non-coding RNA is filed under the name Bombyx mori (domestic silkworm). Lineage: Eukaryota; Metazoa; Arthropoda; Insecta; Lepidoptera; Bombycidae. The record is from RNAcentral.
UAUGUCGUUCAUGUGCAAAAAAUACAGC